GACCUAGAGACCGGCGCACGGGUGCGUAACGCGUAUGCAAUCUACCUUUCACAAAGGGAUAGCCCAGAGAAAUUUGGAUUAAUACCUUAUAGUAAUACGACUUGGCAUCAAGAUGUAUUUAAAGAUUUAUCGGUGAAAGAUGAGCAUGCGUCCCAUUAGCUUGUUGGUAAGGUAACGGCUUACCAAGGCAACGAUGGGUAGGGGUCCUGAGAGGGAGAUCCCCCACACUGGUACUGAGACACGGACCAGACUCCUACGGGAGGCAGCAGUGAGGAAUAUUGGACAAUGGGCGCAAGCCUGAUCCAGCCAUGCCGCGUGCAGGAUGACGGUCCUAUGGAUUGUAAACUGCUUUUGUACAGGAAGAAACCCUUUCACGUGUGGAAGAUUGACGGUACUGUAAGAAUAAGGAUCGGCUAACUCCGUGCCAGCAGCCGCGGUAAUACGGAGGAUCCAAGCGUUAUCCGGAAUCAUUGGGUUUAAAGGGUCCGUAGGCGGUCAAGUAAGUCAGUGGUGAAAGCCCAUCGCUCAACGGUGGAACGGCCAUUGAUACUGCUUGACUUGAAUUAUUAGGAAGUAACUAGAAUAUGUAGUGUAGCGGUGAAAUGCUUAGAGAUUACAUGGAAUACCAAUUGCGAAGGCAGGUUACUACUAAUGGAUUGACGCUGAUGGACGAAAGCGUGGGUAGCGAACAGGAUUAGAUACCCUGGUAGUCCACGCCGUAAACGAUGGAUACUAGCUGUUGGGAGCAAUCUCAGUGGCUAAGCGAAAGUGAUAAGUAUCCCACCUGGGGAGUACGUUC
Molecule: ribosomal RNA, 799 nt
Filed under: Flavobacterium xinjiangense
Lineage: Bacteria; Pseudomonadati; Bacteroidota; Flavobacteriia; Flavobacteriales; Flavobacteriaceae
Description: bacterial SSU rRNA
Rfam family: Bacterial small subunit ribosomal RNA
Source: RNAcentral